UACGGAGGGUGCGAGCGUUGUCCGGAUUUAUUGGGUUUAAAGGGUGCGUAGGUGGCCCUGCAAGUCCGUGGUGAAAGCCUGCCGCUUAACGGCAGAACUGCCAUGGAUACUACAGGGCUUGAGUCCAGACGAGGUUGGCGGAAUGGAUGGUGUAGCGGUGAAAUGCAUAGAUACCAUCCAGAACCCCGAUUGCGUAGGCAGCUGACUAGGCUGGUAAUGACACUGAGGCACGAAAGCGUGGGGAGCGAACAGG
This 253-nucleotide ribosomal RNA is filed under the name uncultured bacterium. RNAcentral's name for it is "partial 16S ribosomal RNA". It matches the Rfam family "Bacterial small subunit ribosomal RNA", at positions 524 to 776 of the family's 1533-position model. The record is from RNAcentral.